This 1336-nucleotide ribosomal RNA is filed under the name uncultured bacterium. Its description in RNAcentral is "16S ribosomal RNA". It matches the Rfam family "Bacterial small subunit ribosomal RNA", at positions 28 to 1386 of the family's 1533-position model. The record is from RNAcentral.
GACGAACGCUGGCGGCGCGCCUAACACAUGCAAGUCGAACGAGCGAGAGAGAGCUUGCUUUCUCGAGCGAGUGGCGAACGGGUGAGUAACGCGUGAGGAACCUGCCUCAAAGAGGGGGACAACAGUUGGAAACGACUGCUAAUACCGCAUAAGCCCACGGGUCGGCAUCGACCAGAGGGAAAAGGAGUAAUCCGCUUUGAGAUGGCCUCGCGUCCGAUUAGCUAGUUGGUGAGGUAAUGGCCCACCAAGGCGACGAUCGGUAGCCGGACUGAGAGGUUGAACGGCCACAUUGGGACUGAGACACGGCCCAGACUCCUACGGGAGGCAGCAGUGGGGAAUAUUGCACAAUGGGGGAAACCCUGAUGCAGCGACGCCGCGUGGAGGAAGAAGGUCUUCGGAUUGUAAACUCCUGUUGUUGGGGAAGAUAAUGACGGUACCCAACAAGGAAGUGACGGCUAACUACGUGCCAGCAGCCGCGGUAAAACGUAGGUCACAAGCGUUGUCCGGAAUUACUGGGUGUAAAGGGAGCGCAGGCGGGAAGACAAGUUGGAAGUGAAAUCUAUGGGCUCAACCCAUAAACUGCUUUCAAAACUGUUUUUCUUGAGUAGUGCAGAGGUAGGCGGAAUUCCCGGUGUAGCGGUGGAAUGCGUAGAUAUCGGGAGGAACACCAGUGGCGAAGGCGGCCUACUGGGCACCAACUGACGCUGAGGCUCGAAAGUGUGGGUAGCAAACAGGAUUAGAUACCCUGGUAGUCCACACCGUAAACGAUGAUUACUAGGGGUGGAGGAUGGACCCCUUCAGUGCGCCAGUUAACACAAUAAGUAAUCCACCUGGGGAGGACGACCGCAAGGGUGAAACUCAAAGGAAUUGACGGGGGCCCGCACAAGCAGUGGAGUAUGUGGUUUAAUUCGACGCAACGCGAAGAACCUUACCAAGUCUUGACAUCCCUUGACAGACAUAGAAAUAUGUAAUCUCUUCGGAGCAAGGAGACAGGUGGUGCAUGGUUGUCGUCAGCUCGUGUCGUGAGAUGUUGGGUUAAGUCCCGCAACGAGCGCAACCCUUAUGGUCAGUUACUACGCAAGAGGACUCUGGCCAGACUGCCGUUGACAAAACGGAGGAAGGUGGGGAUGACGUCAAAUCAUCAUGCCCUUUAUGACUUGGGCUACACACGUACUACAAUGGCGUUAAACAAAGAGAAGCAAGACCGCGAGGUGGAGCAAAACUCAGAAACAACGUCCCAGUUCGGACUGCAGGCUGCAACUCGCCUGCACGAAGUCGGAAUUGCUAGUAAUCGUGGAUCAGCAUGCCACGGUGAAUAAGUUCCCGGGCCUUGCAC